Malus domestica (apple) is the source of this 2755-nucleotide non-coding RNA. The record is from RefSeq and is a predicted model, not a curated record. NCBI's taxonomy places the organism in Eukaryota, Viridiplantae, Streptophyta, Magnoliopsida, Rosales, Rosaceae.
UUCUAUCUUAUAUGACUCAAUUAGAAAAUCUAUUGUAUGUAAUUGUGUCUUAUUGGCGUUCUGCAUUUGUUUUUUUAUUGCCAGCCAAUCGAUGCUCAAGUUAACUUACCUUGAUUUGGUUUAUGCUCUAUGUGGAACUGAAUUUGAGUCUGCUGGACUGCAGUGACAAAGGCGACUAAUGGGAUGGAUAUUGUUUUAUCUGGUGAUGCCUCAGCAAGGUUUAGCUUGCGUGAAGCUGAGAAGUUGCACUUCCUCGGGGAGGAUGAAAAGAUAAAAUUUUAGUCCAUUAAUGUUUGCAUGUAGAUGCCCAAUUUCAUACAUGUUUUGCUCAACUGCUCUGGUAUGGAAACAGACAGCGCACGGAUGCCAAAAGAAGAUGACUUGGAGAUGCAAAUUAUGAUCCAAGAACUCUGUAUUUACCUCCCGCAUUCUUAAAGAGUUAUCAGGUGGCCAGAGACAAUGGUGGGAUUUUAAGUCAAAGCACAUGGACAAAGUUCUCUUUUUCAAGGUAUGCUCGUCCUUACCAGUAGCUAAGUAAUGGCAAAUUAUGCUACACAAAUUCAGGGUCAUUAUUGCUGGCAAAUGAGGAACAUCUCAUUUUUGUCUGAGCAGAUGGGCUAGUUUUAUGAACUUUUUGAAAUGGAUGCACAUAUAGCAGCAAAAGAACUUGGUCUGCAGUAUAUGAAGAUAAUAUAUCUUGAAAUUUUGUCUUGGUGUUGGCUGUUGUGGGGUGAACAACCCCAUUGUGGAUUUCCGGAGAAGAACUUCUCAAUGAAUGUGUAGAAACUUGCUAGGAAGGUUGGUUUUACUCUUGUCACUUUAUUUGGAGAUAUCUUUCUUACUCUUUUUCGUUGAAGUUCAGCAUCUAUGUGAAGCCUCUUUCACACUAUGGAGGGAGAUUUAUUUAAGCUGCCUUGACUGGCAGGGGUAUCGAGUUCUGGUUGUGGAGCAGAAACACCUGAACAGAUGGAUCUUCAUCGUAAAGAGGAUGGCUCUAGAGAUAAGGUUAUGAAACGUGAAAUAUGUGCAGUGGUUACAAAAGGAACACUAACUGAGGGAGAGAUGGUGUCAGCAAACCCUGAUGCUUCUUAUCUAAUGGCAAUGACUGAAAAUUCUCAGAAUUUGGCAAACCAAACUGCAGAGCGCCCUUUUGGGGUGUGUGUAGUUGAUGUUGCUCCCAGCCAGGUCAUUCUUGGGCAGUUUGGAGAUGAUCUAGAGUGCAAUGCCUUGUCUUGUCUCCUGUCUGAGCUGAGGCCUGUUGAAAUUGUAAAACCUGCAAAACUACUUAGUCCUGAAACAGAGAAAGUGCAGAUAAGGCAUACAAGAAGUCCUCUGGUGAAUGAGUUAGUCCCACUAUCGGAAUUCUGGGAUGUUGAGAGAACUGUUCUAAGCAAGCCAUGUAAAGCUAUCGGAAUUAGUUAGAACAUGGCUUGCAAGACCUCAUUCCGAUAGUGGGACUAACGCACAAGCAACUCUUCAGGGUGAAUGAGUUAGUCCCACUAUCGGAAUUUCUAGGCUUCCGGACAUGGAGCGGUUGCUUGUGCGUGUCUGCUCUAGUAGUAAUGCUUGCGGAAGGACUGCUAAUAAAGUGGUUUUAUAUGAGGAUGCUGCAAAAAAAAAAGCUUCAGGAAUUUAUUUCAGCUUUACGUGGUUGUGAACUCAUGGCUCAAAUCAAACAUGCUGUUCUCUUAGAGUUAUCUUGGAAAAUGUUGAAUCUGCACAACUGCAUCAUCUGCUAACACUGGGUAAAGGUCUUCCUGAUGUUAACUCAGUUCUAAAACAUUUCAAGGAUGCCUUUGAUUGGGUAGAAGCCAAUAAUUCAGGUCAUAUAAUACCUCAUGAAGGAGUCGAUAUUGAGUACGACUCUGCUUGUGAAAAAGUAAAGGAGAUAGAGUCUCAUUUAGCAAAACACCUCCAAGAAGAGAAAGUUACUUGGAGAUAAAUUGAUCACUUAUGUCACAGUUGGAAAAGAUUCUUACCUAUUGGAAAUGCCGGAAAGUCUGUGCAGCAAUAUUCCUUCGGAUUAUGAGUUACAUUUGCCUAAAAAGGGUUUGUCGAAGUACUGGACACCAGAUAUCAAGAAGUCAUUGACAGAGCUCUCACUAGCUGAACUGAUUAGGAGUCCUCGCUAAAAAGCAUUUUGCAGAGGUUCAUUGGACGUUGGCGAGCAUUGUCUUAAAUGGAGACAAUUGGUCUCUGUGAUUGCAGAAAUCGAUGUUUUAAUCAGCCUAGCAAUUGCAAGUGAUUGUUUUGAAGGACCCUCUUGUCAGCCAGUGGUCAUGAGUUCAUCGUGUAGUAAUGAAGUACCCCGUUAUUCUGCAUAAAGUUUGGGACAUCCUGUUCUUAGAAGUGAUUCUUGAGGAAAGGGUACAUUUGUAUCCAACGACAUUGCCAUUAGAGGUUCUGGCCAUGCGAGCUUUACCCUUCUCACUGGUCCUAACAUGGGUGGAAGCAGUUAGGAGCAGAUGUUCCUGCAGAGAGCUUUGAGCUAUCUCCUGUUGACCGAAUCUUUGUUUGUAUGGGUGCUAAAGAUAAUAUCAUGGUAUACAUUUCUGACAGAGCUAUCAGAAACUGCAACAAUGCUGUCAUCAGCUACUCGUAAUUCAUUGGUGGCACUGGAUGAACUUGGACGUGGAACAUCAACUUAGAUGAUGGACAAGCCAUUGCGGAAUCAGUUCUUGAACAUUUUAUCUACAAGGCCCAGUGCCGAGGAAUGUUUUCUACCCAUUAUCACCGACUAGCUGUACAACAACAA